Non-coding RNA from Pelobates cultripes (western spadefoot toad), 229 nucleotides. The record is from the annotation of a GenBank genome assembly. NCBI's taxonomy places the organism in Eukaryota, Metazoa, Chordata, Amphibia, Anura, Pelobatidae.
GCUAAAGCAUUGAGCCUAUAGCAUAUCAUCCUGGACCACAUUAUAAGAGUAGGAAUAGGAGUAUGGUAUCAGAUUUAGGUUACUUGUACAAAUUUGUUUUUAGCAAUGAUUGGUUAAAUGCAAGGGUGGCUGUGUGCAAGAAUACAGUUUGCUUAGUAAUGUAUGUCAGAUUAUGUAACCAAAAAAAAAUGAUGUCUAAACAGUGCCAUUAUUCAGAGCCUAUAUUGAC